RNAcentral lists this non-coding RNA (55 nucleotides) under unclassified sequences. The record is from RNAcentral.
GGGUACCGCUUUUCCCCACAUGCACUCUCCGCCCGGUACGGCGGGGAGUGCAGUG